CCUACGGGUGGCGGCAGUGAGGAAUAUUGGUCAAUGGGCGCGAGCCUGAACCAGCCAAGUAGCGUGAAGGAUGACUGCCCUACGGGUUGUAAACUUCUUUUAUAAAGGAAUAAAGUGAGGCACGUGUGCCUUUUUGUAUGUACUUUAUGCAUAAGGAUCGGCUAACUCCUUGCCAGCAGCCGCGGUAAUACGGAGGAUGCGAGCGUUAUCCGGAUUUAUUGGGUUUAAAGGGAGCGUAGAUGGGUUGGUAAGUCAGUUGUGAAAGUUUGCGGCUCAACCGUAAAUUUGCAAUUGAUACUGGCAGUCUUGAGUACAGUUGAGGUAAGCGGAAUUCGUGGUGUAGCGGUGAAAUGCUUAGAUAUCACGAAGAACUCCGAUUGCGAAGGCAGCUUACUAAACUGCCACUGACAUUGAUGCUCGAAAGUGUGGGUAGCAAACAGGAUUAGAUACCCGUGUAGUC
Molecule: ribosomal RNA, 460 nt
Filed under: uncultured bacterium
Lineage: Bacteria
Description: partial 16S ribosomal RNA
Rfam family: Bacterial small subunit ribosomal RNA
Source: RNAcentral